CUUUACUCAACUUAAAAUGACAUGCAAGGGGUAAUGUCACAGAUUUAGAAUCAUGCAUAGCAAACUUGGAUAGGACCUUUUUCACAUAAUCUGUUUGUGACAACAUUAAUAACCGCUGGGACCUAUUCCUUUUAAUAUCCAUCCCUAAAAUCCUUUUAGCAUGCCCAACGUCCUUCAUUUCAAAUUCAGCACUAAGCACAUUUUUAAUCUCAUUUAUAUCACUUAUUUUCUGGCCAAUUAAUAACAUAUCAUCCACAUAUAACAGCAAAUAAACAGUCACACAGUUGCUGUUAUCCCUUUUAAAAUACAAGCAAUGGUCAAAUAAACUUCUCACAAAGCCAACUGAAGACACAAAGUUAUCAAAACAUUUAUACCAUUGCCUAGGGGAUUGUUUUAGACCAUAAAGUGAUCUUUUUAAUGGGCAUACAUGAUCAGAUUUUCUAUUAUCAAUGAGACCUUGUGGCUGUCUCAUAUCUAUGGUUUCAUCAAGGUCUCCAUGCAAAAACGCAGUUUUAACAUCCAUUUGCUCUAAUUCAUAAUCAUAAUGUGCAACUAAUGCAAGCAUGACUCUAAUGGUAGUAUAUUUCACAACAGGAGAAAAUAUUUCAUUAUAAUCAAUACCAGGUUUUAAGGUAAACCCCUUAGCCACUAAUCUGACUUUAAACCUAGGGGGCUGAUUAGGAGGAUUUCCUUCUUUAACAGUAUAAACCCACUUACAGUCAACUAGAGAUUUAUUUUCAGGUUUAGACACUAAGCUCCAGGUCUUAUUUUUCACUAAGGACCUCAUUUCUUCCUCCAUAGCAAAUUGCCAUUCCUUGGAAGACUGACAACUAAUAGCCUCUUCAUAGGAUUUAGGCUCCUUAAAAGUGAAAUCCUGAUAAGACAACAUAGCAACUGACAAAUAGUCUUGCAUCCUAAUAGGCUCUCAUAUUUCUCUUCUAACCCUAUCUCUAGUUAACUGAUAAUCACCUAAAGGGUUUACUAACUCACCAGCAGGUCCUUGAACUGUUUCAUCACCUGAUUUUUCCACAGUUCUAUCUGCAGCCUAGUAUUUUCCUCUUCCUGGCCCUUAAGCUCCUCACUAGAGGCCUUCUUAUCUAAACAAGGCAUCUCAUUUUCAUUGAAGGUCACAUUCCUACUGGUUAUCUUCUUAAAACCCCCCAAUUUUUCUCACCCAAAGCCUGUACCCCUUCACUCCUUCAGCAUAUCCCAUAAAAACACAUUUCUGGGAUCUAGGCUCAAGUUUUCCUUCACUUUGGUGUGAAUAUGCUGCACAACCAAAGGUUUUUAAGUAUGUAUAGUCAGCCAACCUACCUGUCCACACUUCCUCAGGUGUCCUACCAUCUAAUGCACUAGUUGGGGUCCUAUUUAUGAUAUAAACUGCUGUCAUAACAACCUCCCCCCACAACACUUUAGGGACACCUGAACU
Molecule: long non-coding RNA, 1429 nt
Filed under: Olea europaea subsp. europaea
Lineage: Eukaryota; Viridiplantae; Streptophyta; Magnoliopsida; Lamiales; Oleaceae
Source: RNAcentral